UAGUUUGCUAUUUGGUAAAUAUGUGGCGCACCCAUAAUGCAACGUAGCCGGUUCUAGGUCAACUUACGAGAUUAUUAGAGAAUGAAUAGAGAGGCAAACCGGUAUAAACAAAAUUUGAAAGAAAAUCAGUGAACGGGGAUUUUAUUAUAUAGCGAAAUUUUUUCGAGAUUUUGAUACCCGGAUUAUUGUUGUGUAUUUUUUCGUUUAAUCAUAGUUGUAAAACUGAUAUUCGGUUAAGAAAUUAAUUUGAGUAAUUUGUCAUUGGGUGAGGCGACAACACUGUACUUCUUCUUCAGUUUGCGAAUUUCCGAGGUACUGUGAGUGUUUACAUUAUCGUUUUGUUAAACAAUUCUAAAAUUCUUCUCUAAAACUGCAUUAUCAUUUGACUACAUGAUGAGAUCCUGCUUAGAGACGUUUUCAGAACACGGCAUGGCGGAUUUUAUGUCGGAACUUUAACGCCCGGAGGAAAAAGUGUUCAGUGGCCCGUUUGUGAACCCAAUAUGGCUACAUUUUUCACAUUUCCUUACAAACUUUGUUAAAAGCUGUUAAAAUUUUGACUUUCUACCGGGUCCUCCAGAUAGUGAUGAAAACAAGUGGAAAUGUGCAGCUCAUCUUAAAGCUUAGUAUUCAGUAUUUGAUAGUAGAUGCACGAAUUUAACAUGGAAUGCUGUACCAACUUUAAAUCUGAAGCCAGGUAACUAACAAAUAAGUUUGACUCUUCUAGAUAAUAAAUAGAUAAAUGAAUACAGUUUGUGCGAGCAUACAUACAUUCGAGGCAGAUAAUUAUAAAGUUAAUGAAGGCGGCUUCUAAAUGCCAAGAAAUUGAGGGUGCUGAAUUAUCAGAUACUUUUCUAAAGCCGAGCAAAUCAAUCAUCUUUCCGGAAAAUAUCCGGACAAGGGGAACACUGGUACAUCACAGGAACAAACAUUUGUUGCAAAUAGUCCCGA
Long non-coding RNA from Dendroctonus ponderosae (mountain pine beetle), 948 nucleotides. RefSeq lists it as uncharacterized. NCBI's taxonomy places the organism in Eukaryota, Metazoa, Arthropoda, Insecta, Coleoptera, Curculionidae. The record is from RefSeq and is a predicted model, not a curated record. The transcript has 2 exons.